AGUCGAGCGAAGCAUUUUAAAGGAAGUUUUCGGAUGGAAUUUGAAAUGACUGACCGUUAAGACGGGAGAGUAACGCGUGGGUAACCUGCCUCAUACAGGCCUAUAACAGUUAGAAAUGACUGCUAAUACCGCACAAGCACACAGUACCGCAUGGUACGGUGUGAAAAACUCCGGUGGUAUGAGAUGGACCCGCGUCUGAUUAGCUAGUUGGCGGGGUAACGGCCCACCAAGGCGACGAUCAGUAGCCGACCUGGGAGGGUGACCGGCCACAUUGGGACUGAGACACGGCCCAAACUCCUACGGGAGGCAGCAGUGGGGAAUAUUGCACAAUGGGGGAAACCCUGAUGCAGCAACGCCGCGUGAGUGAAGAAGUAUUUCGGUAUGUAAAGCUCUAUCAGCAGGGAAGAAAGUGACGGUACCUGACUAAGAAGCCCCGGCUAACUACGUGCCAGCAGCCGCGGUAAUACGUAGGGGGCAAGCGUUAUCCGGAUUUACUGGGUGUAAAGGGAGCGUAGACGGCACAGCAAGUCUGAAGUGAAAUCCCCGGGCUCAACCCGGGAACUGCUUUGGAAACUGUUGGGCUGGAGUGCUGGAGAGGCAAGCGGAAUUCCUAGUGUAGCGGUGAAAUGCGUAGAUAUUAGGAGGAACACCAGUGGCGAAGGCGGCUUGCUGGACAGUAACUGACGUUGAGGCUCGAAAGCGUGGGGAGCAAACAGGAUUAGAUACCCUGGUAGUCCACGCCGUAAACGAUGCAUACUAGGUGUCGGGGAGCAAAGCUUUCCGGUGCCGCCGCAAACGCAGUAAG
This 805-nucleotide ribosomal RNA is filed under the name uncultured bacterium. Its description in RNAcentral is "bacterial SSU rRNA". It matches the Rfam family "Bacterial small subunit ribosomal RNA", at positions 60 to 864 of the family's 1533-position model. The record is from RNAcentral.